This 527-nucleotide ribosomal RNA is filed under the name uncultured bacterium. RNAcentral describes it as "bacterial SSU rRNA". It matches the Rfam family "Bacterial small subunit ribosomal RNA", at positions 984 to 1509 of the family's 1533-position model. The record is from RNAcentral.
ACAUCCAGAGAAUUUAGCAGAGAUGCUUUAGUGCCUUCGGGAACUCUGAGACAGGUGCUGCAUGGCUGUCGUCAGCUCGUGUUGUGAAAUGUUGGGUUAAGUCCCGNAACGAGCGACAACCCUUAUCCUUUGUUGCCAGCACGUAAUGGUGGGAACUCAAAGGAGACUGCCGGUGAUAAACCGGAGGAAGGUGGGGAUGACGUCAAGUCAUCAUGGCCCUUACGAGUAGGGCUACACACGUGCUACAAUGGCGCAUACAAAGAGAAGCGACCUCGCGAGAGCAAGCGGACCUCAUAAAGUGCGUCGUAGUCCGGAUUGGAGUCUGCAACUCGACUCCAUGAAGUCGGAAUCGCUAGUAAUCGUAAAUCAGAAUGUUACGGUGAAUACGUUCCCGGGCCUUGUACACACCGCCCGUCACACCAUGGGAGUGGGUUGCAAAAGAAGUAGAUAGCUUAACCUUCGGGAGGGCGUUUACCACUUUGUGAUUCAUGACUGGGGUGAAGUCGUAACAAGGUAGGCGUAGUGCU